UCCAAACCUCGCAUGAGACAGAACUCAUGA
RNAcentral lists this small RNA (30 nucleotides) under Bombyx mori (domestic silkworm). RNAcentral describes it as "ovarian small RNA-26446". The record is from RNAcentral. Lineage: Eukaryota; Metazoa; Arthropoda; Insecta; Lepidoptera; Bombycidae.